This 277-nucleotide ribosomal RNA is filed under the name uncultured bacterium. RNAcentral's name for it is "partial 16S ribosomal RNA". It matches the Rfam family "Bacterial small subunit ribosomal RNA", at positions 28 to 298 of the family's 1533-position model. The record is from RNAcentral.
GACGAACGCUGGCGGCGUGCUUAACACAUGCAAGUCGAGCGAGCACCAUCCGGUGGCAACACUGGUGAAGUGCUAGCGGCGAACGGGUGAGUAACACGUGAGCAACCUGCCCCCAAGUCUGGGAUAACCCCGGGAAACCGGAGCUAAUACCGGAUACCCUCGCUGAGCCGCAUGGCGCGGCGAGGAAAGUUUUUCGCUUGGGGAGGGACUCGCGGCCUAUCAGCUUGUUGGUGGGGUAAUGGCCUACCAAGGCGUCGACGGGUAGCUGGUCUGAGAG